This 450-nucleotide ribosomal RNA is filed under the name uncultured bacterium. RNAcentral describes it as "partial 16S ribosomal RNA". It matches the Rfam family "Bacterial small subunit ribosomal RNA", at positions 354 to 796 of the family's 1533-position model. The record is from RNAcentral.
GUGGGGAAUUUUGGACAAUGGGCGCAAGCCUGAUCCAGCAAUGCCGCGUGUGUGAAGAAGGCCUUCGGGUUGUAAAGCACUUUUGGCAGGAAAGAAAUAGUGCGUGCUAAUACCAUGCGCGAAUGACGGUACCUGCAGAAUAAGCACCGGCUAACUACGUGCCAGCAGCCGCGGUAAUACGUAGGUGGCGAGCGUUAUCCGGAUUUAUUGGGGGUAAAGGGCGUGUAGGCGGGACAGCAAGUCAGAUGUGAAAACCAGAGGCUCAACCUCUGGCCUGCAUUUGAAACUGUUGUUCUUGAGUGUCGGAGAGGUAAUCGGAAUUCCGUGUGUAGCGGUGAAAUGCGUAGAUAUUCGAAGGAACGCCAAUAGCGAAGGCAGCUUGCUGGACGAUUACUGACGCUGAGGCACGAAAGCGUGGGGAGCGAAAAGGAUUAGAAACCCUGGUAGUCC